This 202-nucleotide unclassified non-coding RNA is filed under the name Hevea brasiliensis (rubber tree). The record is from RNAcentral. Lineage: Eukaryota; Viridiplantae; Streptophyta; Magnoliopsida; Malpighiales; Euphorbiaceae.
GUGAAGUGAUAUUUCGAAAGAUCAACCUUGUCACAACUCGAUUUCUGGGUUAGAUCAACGCUAGGACUUGGGUCAGCAUAAGGUCUCCGAAACUCAUAAUAAGCUUAACUAUUUCCAAUUUAUUCAUAAAACCCAUUAAGGUCGCCUAAUUUUAAGAAAACAAACGGACAGGGUUCGGUCAUAAAUUUGACUAUCUAACGGG